GAUGAACGCUGGCGGCGUGCCUAAUACAUGCAAGUAGAACGCUGAAGGAGGAGCUUGCUCUUCUGGAUGAGUUGCGAACGGGUGAGUAACGCGUAGGUAACCUGCCUGGUAGCGGGGGAUAACUAUUGGAAACGAUAGCUAAUACCGCAUGACAACAGUUAUUGCAUGAUAACUGUUUAAAAGGGGCAACUGCUCCACUACCAGAUGGACCUGCGUUGUAUUAGCUAGUUAGUGAGGUAACGGCUCACCAAGGCGACGAUACAUAGCCGACCUGAGAGGGGGAUCGGCCACACUGGGACUGGGACACGGCCCAGACUCCUACGGGAGGCAGCAGUAGGGAAUCUUCGGCAAUGGACGGAAGUCUGACCGAGCAACGCCGCGUGAGUGAAGAAGGUUUUCGGAUCGUAAAGCUCUGUUGUAAGAGAAGAACGAGUGUGAGAGUGGAAAGUUCACACUGUGACGGUAUCUUACCAGAAAGGGACGGCUAACUACGUG
Molecule: ribosomal RNA, 495 nt
Filed under: uncultured bacterium
Lineage: Bacteria
Description: partial 16S ribosomal RNA
Rfam family: Bacterial small subunit ribosomal RNA
Source: RNAcentral